UACGUAGGGUGCGAGCGUUAAUCGGAAUUACUGGGCGUAAAGCGUGCGCAGGCGGUCUGUUAAGACCGAUGUGAAAUCCCCGGGCUUAACCUGGGAACUGCAUUGGUGACUGGCAGGCUUUGAGUGUGGCAGAGGGAGGUAGAAUUCCACGUGUAGCAGUGAAAUGCGUAGAGAUGUGGAGGAAUACCGAUGGCGAAGGCAGCCUCCUGGGCCAACACUGACGCUCAUGCACGAAAGCGUGGGGAUCAAACAGG
This 254-nucleotide ribosomal RNA is filed under the name uncultured bacterium. Its description in RNAcentral is "partial 16S ribosomal RNA". It matches the Rfam family "Bacterial small subunit ribosomal RNA", at positions 524 to 776 of the family's 1533-position model. The record is from RNAcentral.